RNAcentral lists this ribosomal RNA (584 nucleotides) under uncultured fungus. RNAcentral's name for it is "eukaryotic LSU rRNA". The stretch from base 183 to 336 matches the Rfam family "5.8S ribosomal RNA". The record is from RNAcentral. Lineage: Eukaryota; Fungi.
UAACAAGGUCUCCGUUGGUGAACCAGCGGAGGGAUCAUUAUCGAGUUAUUCAACUCCCAAACCCUAUGUGAACUUACCACUUGUUGCUUCGGCGCGCGCUUCGGCGCCGCCGAGGACACUUAAACUCUUUGUUUUUAUAAGCAUUUCUGAGUGGCCGAAAGGCAAAAAUACAAAUGAAUCAAAACUUUCAACAACGGAUCUCUUGGUUCUGGCAUCGAUGAAGAACGCAGCGAAAUGCGAUAAGUAAUGUGAAUUGCAGAAUUCAGUGAAUCAUCGAAUCUUUGAACGCACAUUGCGCCCGCCAGCAUUCUGGCGGGCAUGCCUGUUCGAGCGUCAUUUCAACCCUCGAGCCCGACUCUUUUGAGGACGGCUCGGCGUUGGGGGACGGCAGACUCCCCCCGGCAUCUCGCCGGGGACGCCGCCCCCGAAAUCUAGUGGCGGCCCUCCGAGGCGACCUCUGCGUAGUAACUUGUUCUCGCACCGGAAAGCUCAGAGCGGCCACGCCGUAAAACCCCAACUUUUUUCAGGUUGACCUCGAAUCAGGUAGGACUACCCGCUGAACUUAAGCAUAUCAAUAUAACAAG